Phasianus colchicus (ring-necked pheasant) is the source of this 5619-nucleotide non-coding RNA. Lineage: Eukaryota; Metazoa; Chordata; Aves; Galliformes; Phasianidae. The record is from RefSeq and is a predicted model, not a curated record.
AGCCAUCUGACGUCGUCGUCUCUGUUAAGCAUGCCGUGGCCUGGUUCCUUUUGCUCUUGAACUGAUUUCCUUAUCUUCUGUUUCCUGCUUCCCUCCCUGAGAAUGUAUUUUGAAAGAUUACUGUCAGGGAGCAUGACCUAGGAUAGUGCUUAGUUUAUGUUACUAGUCUACAGACAUAAUUCAAUCCAGUAGAAUAUACAAGCGGUUAUCCAGAAUUUUUGUAAAUUCUGGAAAACAACCCACUAAAAAAAACCAACCACCCAGUAACCAGAGUAGUUAAUGCAGAAACUAGUGAGAAAGAUCCUAUCCACAGUGCAGUUUGAGUGUGGACAUGAGCAGCAUGAGCAUCUCUGUGUCUCCCAUCCGUGUUGCAAAGAUGGAGGGGCGAUACUUUUCCUAGCACAAUACUCAUAUAACUCAUAUAACUCCUAUAACUCAUAUAAAAUGUGCAACUUACUGACACAACUGCAUUAACCAUGAAAUGGCCAGGGUGCAGCAAGGACCUAACAGACAAGGCCAGACUCAUCUGAUGUUUGGAAUCAUCUUUAUCUGAAAUGAGCUUUAUCCUUCAGAUCAUCCAAACAGUGUUUAAAAAAAAAUAACAUAUAGGCCAGUUUGUUAAACUCUAAAAUUAUAGUUGAUCCAUGAAGUUUAUUGUAUGGCCACAAUAGAGUCUUUGUUUUCAAGAUGUAGCCAUGUUAUAAAGAAGAUGGAGUUAUUGUCAGACCAUAGGAAUGCAACUAUGCUCUGUUUUACAGAAAAUGUCAUAAAUAAUAUACUCAGAAAUAACCCUCACAGAUUCAGAACACGUUAAAUUACAUAAAGUAGUUGUGUGAAGUCAUUCUACAGUGAGUUAAGGCUUUCAUAAAUCCAUUAAAGAAAAAAAGAUACAGAGCAAGAAAAAAAAUCUAUGCUUUUGAUUAUGAUUUGAAAAGAAAGAAUGAAUUGAUGAGGCAAAGAGAAAAAAGUAAUCAGUUUCAGACACCAUGUUACAGAUGAGAAGAUGUUUACAAUAAGAGUAGUGAGUGUAAAUAAACAGCAAGAAGCUGGGCUCUAGACUGCAAAAGGAGAAACAGAAAAGGGAACAGAUGUGUUGAGCUAGAGACAGUCCAUGGGUUUGGAAGGCAAGAAAAAAAAAGGUUUCCAUCUGGAUCAUGUACUGCAUAGAACGUUGAGUGGAAUGAAAUGGUAGGAACCAAUGUUGUUGUGAAGAAAAGAUAGGUAUGAAGACUUCUAAAGGACUAUUGCAGAAGAGAUGGCCUUUAAAGGUAUCUUUUUGGGUUGAUAAUACAUAAAUUUAUGCACUUAUCAUUCUCUCGUGCUGACCUAUUGCAUAUCAACAACAACAUUCGCACUCCAUAUAGCUCCCAUAGUACUGUUCUCUCUUCACAUUUCAGGCUGUAUCCAGAGCUUGCAGAGGAGCGCUGCUCCCCUGAUUGAGCUACUGAUUGAGCACCUGAAAAGGUGAGAUCUCAAAAUAUCUCCCAGAAAAAGAUUCGAGUUAAAAGGUUGGGUGAGAGGUAAGAGCUGGCAGUAGAUUGCAGAUUCAGGCUUGCUCACUCCAAAGGAAUGUUAGCUCUCUCUAGUAAGUUGCACUGCUCUUGCACACCACGUCAUGCCAUGAUACAUUGCCUUCCAGCAAGGCAGAGAUGCAUUGUGUUUCUAGAUAAGGAAUAUGUUUACAAAGUUCAAUUUCUACAGGGCAGAAGAGGAAUUAACUUUAUCUGAAAACGCUCUGUUUGUACCUAGCUUUGUAUUUAUGAACCGCCAGCACAGAAGGCUAUGAUUCCUUUUAAGAAGAUUGACUUGAUCUUCGUUUAAAAAAAUGCAAACAGAAAACUCCUGCUAGCGUAGCCACAUGGAGUGGAACAGAUAAUUUAUUUCUGUCAGAACGCGUUAUUUGUGGAUGUCAGUACUGUGUUCUGAAUAGGAUGUUGAAAUACACUGUGGGUAUGUUACUUAUGUACGUUUUCAGAAAGAUACAGCUGGUAAGAAUAAAUGAGCUGUAAUAAUAGGUAGUUAAAAUGUUAAUGGAAUAAUGCAGGUCAAGCAGAAACAGUCAGUCAGUUACCAAUAAAAAAAGGAGACAUAUAAGAGGUCAUCUUCUUUCUGGAAGACAAAAACUCUCAAUUCAUUAGAGAAUGAGUAUCUACAUGAGCACAACUCCCAGUCUGAUUCCAGCCUGAGCUUAUAGUUUGAACCCAGUUUGGUCUUUUUCCUAAACAUUUCUUGUUUGGGGCAUUUAAUUUUGAACAAGAAUUAUUUAAAUUUUAAAUUCAGAAAAUGUUUAUUACUGAAUAUCUGAGUAUUUUUCCUAAACUGAAGUGAACCUGUAAAAAAGAAAAGGGUCAUUAAAAAACAAAAUAAUUAGAAUAUUUUUCAGUCAGUUGUGAUCUUACAAAAAGAGUAAAAGAAAAAAGAGAAAGUCAACAUGCACAUCUUGUUCCUGAGAACUGAUCCUAUAUUCAUGGCAAUGAGGAAGGUAGAAAACUGUCUUAUUUUUGUAAACUUUUCAAAACCUCUAUAAGGAAAAAAAAUGCAGAACAGAAGAUUUUGGUAGUUCGUGUUAAAGCCAGCAGUCUCUGGAUAGCAUAUGAACUAAGAACAGUUCUCCCAGCAACUAUCACAUUGCUGGAUGGUAAAAGCACUCCUUUGGCCAUGUUCCCAUUAGUAAAUAUUCAUGCUCUUACAAGUUCCUAUCUUUGAAAGACGUGGUUAGCUAAGCAGUCAGUCUUUUAAAUUGAUUUUCUUAGGAGAAAAGGUCUGUACAACUAGAUUGGCAGAUACUCAGCUUGAUAGUUGUAGCCUCAAUUGUUCUCACUUUGUUAAGCUAGAUACUAAUAAAUAAAUCCAUAAAGGUAUCUUGCAUGUUUUGAGCCUUUCAAUGUAACUGGCUAGCAUGAUGGUUCAGGGAUUAUCAUAUUUAUGGGAAGAUACUUCAACAGCAUUGUCCAUCUUUGAAAGGCUAAAUAUAUUUUUAAAAUCUGACAUUGUCUUAGGAGAAAAAAUUUUCCUUUGAUACUUCCAAACAGAAUUCUUAUCUUUUCAAAAUGUUUUCAAAUUAAAUACAAGUAGCCUUAAACUAGAGUUUUUAUUUUUUUUUACAAAUAUCUUCUAAACCUCUUACACUCUUUUUGUUGACCUUGGAGCUAAUUACUUCAGGAAAAAAAAUAAAAAUCACUUGAACAGAGAGAGCAUUAGUUCAGAUUGAUCUAAGAUUAUGAGGCCCUUUCGAUCAUCAAAGUUCUGAUCCAUGAGGACAUGGAAAGUCUUCGUAUUGAAAUCGUGCAUGAGUUUUGGGUUAGGCAGUAGCCAGUUAGCAUUUACAUGUGUAAACCACUUGAAAGAAUUAUGUUGGAUGGAGGCCAGAGUGAGGAUUUGGAAAACAAAGAAUAUCAAGGGUAGGGUAGAGUUCAGAAACUGAAUGCUGCCUAGUGGAGAACAUACUGUGGGAGCUGAACAAGAAAAGAGCCCCUUCACAGGCACAGAAAUUAACUGUUUGCUGCUUAUAUGCUGUGCUUGAAACAGUAAAAACAAACAUUAGGAAGAGAGAAAUCAGCUCUGUAAAUAAGCAGUAGUGAAGUCUCACUGAGGCUGCUUGUGUGCAGCAGAAGGAAAGCAAAGCUAAGCUUGAAUUUUGACAACUAUUUGAAAGUUUCCAUUGAAUGGUUGAGUUUUCUUGCUGAGCAGUUCACACUAUUUUACUUACAGAUGAAUUUAGAUCCAAAGCAAAUCUGGAGGCACAAGAAAUAAACCCAAACUAUUGCAAUUCUGGCUAGCACAGUUGAUUACCAAGUCUUGAUUUGAAGAGUGGAGAAAGUUGUGUGAAAAAAAAACGUCCAGAUAUGAAAAGGUGUACAUAGUAACUAUGUGCUGCAGUAGAUUACUUCCCCUCAUGAGCCAUAGCAUGCAGAGCUCUGUAAAGAUACACUAAGACUUCCAAGAAACCUCUCAGGAAAAGGAUAUAAAAUACUGGAGUGUUUAAAAGCCAUGAUUUUUUGCUUCUCUUCUUUUCUGUCUUUCUGAGGUGAGCCUCGGCAGCACUGGCCGGAGUAAUUCAACUGAUCCCCAUCUCUGCAUGGUGAAUUACCAUGCUUGGCACAUGCAGGCUUGUCUGGAUUGCUGCUGCUCAGCCAGGUAGCACAGAAUGAAUUUGCAGACCAGUCUUCUGACACGCGUGAAGCAGCGCCAGUUAUUCAAGUCCUACAUGGACGAGGAGGAAGCGGGUGUGCAAAACUGAAGUGGAAUCAUUGAAAGAUGCUGCCAUUAAAAUCUCUCAAACACAAACUCAGCUUUCUGGAGACGAGCAGCUCUACCCCCAGAACAGCCAGUAAGCCAGAGGCUACCAUGGUUGCCUGAAUUAACAUUGAAUGAAAACCUCUUGUAUCCCAGCUUUGACAGGCCCUCUCUUGGGGAGGUUGCUCCUAAGAUGCAUUAAUUCUGGCACUUAAGCUCCCAUGUUCAACGAAAUAGAAGCAUGAACUGACCUUUCCAGAAGGAAAAGAAAGCCUGAUAACCACAUCUGAAGAAAGCGGACUUUCUGAGACCUGAAAGAAGUCCCAGGACUUGGCCACUAUUUAGUGACAAGGAAAUACACAGAAGUGCCCUUCGUGUCUCCUCUGUGACUCAGUGUGAAGCAAGACCUGGGCUGUGGGCCCUCUUUCUGCCAUUCCUCCAUGUAACAAAAUUGUUCCUUCCCAAAUAAGUACAUCAGAGCAGGAAGUCCUGGCCGGGGCACAGGUGCCAAAGAAGCAUUUUAAAAGAAACAAGUGGUUGUAACAGAGUUGGAUACACCACAGCAUCCAGGCUUGGUGGAUUUUCAAUAGUUUUCCAAAAAAUGCAGUAGUGUAAAGUGUAUCUUAAUGGCAAUAGGCAUAUUAUCCAAGCGUGCUUGAGCAAUUUGGCUAAAAGUAUAUGAAAUUCUGAAAUAACCAAGGUCUUCCAUGCAGUUUUGGCAGGGAGUGUCUACCUCAGAAAUUGGACAGAUCAAGGAAAAUAAUUUUUCAACAAGUCUUUAAUCAUGGUGGCGAAGCAGUAUUGUGUUUAACACUGUUUAUUCAUAGUGUGAUUUCCUGUAUCCAGCUGGCUGAUGCACCCAUCUGACUACUCCAGAUGAUGGGAUCCAUCACUUCUUGUUCUAUGUACAAAACAUUUCCUAACGAUCUUGAUGUAGUAAAGACUGUCCUAUGUGACUGCAUCCAUUCACAGCAUCAGUAGACAAAGGUAAAGCAACUGAUGUCAUCUACCUGAACUUCUGCAAGGCCACUGCUAUGAUCCCACAUCACAUUCUUAUCUCCAAAUUGGAAAUACAUGGAUUUAAGAGUGGACUUUUCAGUGGAAAAGGAAUUGGUUGGAUGAUCACAGCCAGAGCGUUGUGGUCAAUGGCUCUAUGUCCAGGUGAAGGCCGGUGAUGAGUGGUGUCCCUCCAGCGAUCUGUCGGGACAAGUGCUCUCUAACAUCUUUAUCAAUAAACUGGGUAGUGGGAUGAAGUGCACCAGGCUGAGCGCUGCAGUUGAUAGAAUAGAAGAAAGAUGUGAAGCUGAUGGAGCGGGUCCAGAGAAGGGCAACAAAGAUGAUCAAAGGGCUGGAGCACCUCUUUUACAAAGACAGGCUGAGGGA